RNAcentral lists this ribosomal RNA (253 nucleotides) under uncultured bacterium. RNAcentral's name for it is "partial 16S ribosomal RNA". It matches the Rfam family "Bacterial small subunit ribosomal RNA", at positions 524 to 776 of the family's 1533-position model. The record is from RNAcentral.
UACGGAGGUGGCAAGCGUUGUUCGGAAUUACUGGGCGUAAAGGGCGCGUAGGCGGCCUUCUAAGUCAGACGUGAAAUCCCCCGGCUUAACCUGGGAACUGCGUCUGAUACUGGGAGGCUUGAGUAUAGGAGAGGGAUGUAGAAUUCCAGGUGUAGCGGUGAAAUGCGUAGAUAUCUGGAGGAAUACCGGUGGCGAAGGCGGCAUCCUGGACCGGCAUUGACGCUGAGGAGCGAAAGCUAGGGGAGCAAACGGG